CUGUAAUUUAAGUCUUCCAUUUGGUCCCCUAGGGGAGUGUCCACCAGGUGGGAGACCUGCAUAAAUACGGGCAGGUAGCCCACAGUAAACCCAGAUCUUAUUUGACCCUCAAUGCGGAGCUUCUGUCUCGUUAUUGGGGGGAUUUCUUCUUCACGUUUAGAGACUGCUGGAUGGAACGAAAGCCGCUUUGGGGAUAUUAUUGUUCGACGGUUCCUAGCAGUUCGUAUAUUGCCGUUCGGGAGUUUGGAGCCGUUCGUGGAUUUCGAUCGGGAGAUUGCCGCUUCCCCUGCAUUUGGUUCGUG
Pelobates cultripes (western spadefoot toad) is the source of this 302-nucleotide non-coding RNA. The record is from the annotation of a GenBank genome assembly. NCBI's taxonomy places the organism in Eukaryota, Metazoa, Chordata, Amphibia, Anura, Pelobatidae.